RNAcentral lists this ribosomal RNA (468 nucleotides) under uncultured bacterium. RNAcentral's name for it is "partial 16S ribosomal RNA". It matches the Rfam family "Bacterial small subunit ribosomal RNA", at positions 28 to 507 of the family's 1533-position model. The record is from RNAcentral.
GACGAACGCUGGCGGCGUGCUUAAUACAUGCAAGUCGAACGGACAGGCCCUGCUCUUGUUGGUCUCUCGUUUGCCGCACGCGUGAGUAUCACGCGAGUAUCCCCUCCCUGUCUUUCUGAUAUCUUUACGAAACUCCGGCUCAUAUCCCCUAUGAUCUCUUGCUCCAUGUUGUUCGUUGGUAAGUUUCGGUUGUUGUGGAUGGACUCGCUGGUUAUCCGCCUCUUUGUGGGGUAGUGGCUUACCAAGCCUUCGACGGGUAGCCUGCCUGAGAGGGUGACCGGCCACAUUGGGACUGAGGGAAGGCCCAGACUGCGAAGGGAGGCAGCAGGGGGGAAUAUUGCAGAAUGGGCGGAAGCCUGAUGCAGCAACGCCGCGUGCGGGAUGACGGCCUUCGGGGUGUAAACCGCUUUCGCAUGAGACGAAGAGGGAGUGACGGUAAUGGGUAAAGAAGCAACGGCUAACUACGUG